AAGCAAUGUGAGGACACUAUCUCAAAUAACCCUUAAAUAUGUCCCAUGCUUCAUAUAUUGUUUCCCCAUCUUCCUAAGCAAAGAUUUGGAUUCUAUUACUCAUAU
This is a small nucleolar RNA of Zingiber officinale, 105 nucleotides long. The record is from RefSeq and is a predicted model, not a curated record. NCBI's taxonomy places the organism in Eukaryota, Viridiplantae, Streptophyta, Magnoliopsida, Zingiberales, Zingiberaceae.